AGUGAGCGCUGGCGGUAGGCCUAACACAUGCAAGUCGAACGGCAGCACAGUAAGAGCUUGCUCUUACGGGUGGCGAGUGGCGGACGGGUGAGGAAUACAUCGGAAUCUACUUUUUCGUGGGGGAUAACGUAGGGAAACUUACGCUAAUACCGCAUACGACCUACGGGUGAAAGCAGGGGAUCUUCGGACCUUGCGCGAUUGAAUGAGCCGAUGUCGGAUUAGCUAGUUGGCGGGGUAAAGGCCCACCAAGGCGACGAUCCGUAGCUGGUCUGAGAGGAUGAUCAGCCACACUGGAACUGAGACACGGUCCAGACUCCUACGGGAGGCAGCAGUGGGGAAUAUUGGACAAUGGGCGCAAGCCUGACCCAGCCAUACCGCGUGGGUGAAGAAGGCCUUCGGGUUGUAAAGCCCUUUUGUUGGGAAAGAAAAGCAGCAGGUUAAUACCCCGCUGUUCUGGCGGUACCCAAAGAAUAAGCACCGGCUAACUUCGUG
RNAcentral lists this ribosomal RNA (492 nucleotides) under uncultured bacterium. Its description in RNAcentral is "partial 16S ribosomal RNA". It matches the Rfam family "Bacterial small subunit ribosomal RNA", at positions 29 to 507 of the family's 1533-position model. The record is from RNAcentral.